AUGAAUUUUAUUAGAGGUUUAGAUUCUUUACAGUUGGGCAGGUUUUACAGGUUUAGUUUUAUCCUGUGUUUGGACUGGAAAAUAUCAAAUCUAGCAACUGUGGCGAAUGGCGCCAUUUUUGAGCGUGACGCGCAUGCGCCUGCUGGAUAUAAAUAUGGCGCAGCUUCUAUGUCAGCGUUUAAGAAAAAAAAAAAAAGAGCUGCUAGCAUUUUGUCGCACGGAGACACGAAGCUGUUGGUCAGAUUUUCAUAAACUUUUGACCUGGAUUAAAAAGGAUAUAUUAUGAUCUCCUAACAUGCGGAAUCCAAGUGGACGCCCAGCCUUAUGACUGAAACUUUUGUGGCUCCAACUGAAACUGUGUCGGUGUUUAUCGAGGCCUAGUUUGGCGUCUUGUACUUGACCUGCGAGAAGGCCGCAGUGAUGGCAAGUAGGCCGCGGGAGCGCCAUGUUUGAAGUCGCUGCGUUGGUUAUUCGAGCAGCACACAAGGAGAGAACCGGCCAUGGCCUCUCAGCGGCGGUUUGUUUGGUUGCUGGCGUCCCUGAAACAUCUGACGAGAUGUAAUGGCACCUGGAGCUAGCAGUUGAUCGAUUAUGGAUGUACUACAAUCAAGCUGAGGAUCGCUAGCAGUUGAUCGAUUAUGGAUAUACUACAAUCAAGCUGAGGAUUCCCUUCAAUGAAGUUGAGGAUCGCUUCCUUCAAGCUGAGGAAUCGCUACAAGGUGCCUGGCGGAUCCGCCCAACUCAUCAAAGGUUGGUUAAGUCAAAGAACUGUUCCAAUGGCGGGUCCAGAAGACAUCUCAGGGUAGGAGCUGUUGCGGUUUUUGCUACGCUGCUGAUGUUAACACUGUUGAAGGCCAACGCUAGGCCUCUUGGUGUGCUGGUUUGGUUUGAUUCUCUGCUGAGAGUCAAUAAGCUGAGAAGGAUUCUGCUGUUGUAAAUCCUACUGUCUUUAAAUUUUAGUUUUUGAAACAGUUGCUGUGGUCUUGUGACCUGUGCAAGUUUAGGUGUAAUUAGAAUCUGAUAUUUACAGUCUGAAUUUUCUGGCUUAAAGUCAGUUGUCAUGAAAGAAAGAUGGCUGCCAAAGAUUUGGCAAACGCAUGAAAGAAAGAUGGCUGCCAAAGAUUUGGCAAAGAUGGUUUAGAGGCUGUAGGAAGUGAUUCAGCUUACGUUUCGUAAAUAUCACUAAUAAACCUUGAAAACAUACCUACUUGUCAGUGCUAAUCUAAUGUGGCUAUGUUCACAUUAGCAUAGCUGCAAUACAAUAAUUAUCUUCCCAAUGAAUAUCAAAUAUGUUUUUGGGUGAAGAUGAGCUCUUUAUACUACAACAUACAUAAUUAUUUUUUAUUUUUUGUACCUACUUAAUAUUUAAUUUGAAAUUUAAUACUUUAAUAACUCAGACGAAUUUAAUUUACGUUCAAUUUAAACGUGAAAACCGAUUAAUUUUUGCGCCAAACAACGCGUGGCCUCGAGCAAUUUCGUCGUGCGACUUCAUUUCUUCUGGACAACAACGGAAAGAUCUCCUGGAGCUGCAGAUCAGAGCUUAUAGAGGUAAUGUUCACACUGUAAUCUACCAUCUCUUAUUUGCAAGUUUUCAGCUGAACUCCAUGUUUUCCUUCUAGAGAGGAUCGCCUGGGGCCUGUCCUUCAGUGUUUAAGUUUCUUUUAACCCAUUUUUUUUUCUCUUAGACUAAGCAACUGGCAGACCUUUCGUUACUAAUAACUUUUUUUUUUUCUCAUAGAUGAAGCCACCAAAGGAGCUUCUACUACAACUAACUCUUUUCUCCUAUAGAAACACUCCUGGAGCAGCUCUUUCUUUUUCUGUCUCUCUUUUUAUCCUGUCCUUUCAAAUCCCCCGGGGGUAGUGACAGAUGGCCUUUUAUACAGAGCCAACUUCUGGCUCUGCUGGAGGAUUCUUCCUGUUAAAAGGAAGUUUGUCCUCUCCACUGUCACUACAUGCAUCCUAAAUAUGAGGCAUUGAUUUAGCUUACUAAACUGUGGUUCCGUGUUGGUCUUAUUUUGGAAAGUCUUCCUGUUAAAGGGAAGGUCUUCUUUUUGGAAAGUCUUCCUGUUGAAGGGAAACUUUCCUCUCCACGGUCACCACUUGAAUCCUCAGUAGGAGGCCUUAUUUAAGCUUACUUUACUUUUAAUAAAUUUAAAUAAUUGGUGCAGUGUUUAAUUAUUUUUUUGGAAAUUCUUCCUGUUAAAGGGAAGUCUUUCCUCUCCACUGUCACCAGAUGGAUAUUCAGUACAAGUCAUUGCUUUAGCUUAACUAUUAACCAAUUUAAAUAAUUGGUCUAGUGUUAACCUUAUUUUGGAAAGUCUUCCUGUUAAAGGGAAGUUUUUCUAUUUUUUGCUACCACAUGGAUCCUCAAUUCCAAGCAUUGCUUAAUCUUAUUUUAAUUAAUUUACGUAAUUGGUGCAGUGUUUUUUUUGAAAGUAUUCCUGUUAAAGGGAAGUUCUUCCUCUCAACUGUCACCACAUGUAUCCUCAACAUGAGGCAUUGCUUAAGCUGUCAUAACUUUUAGCCAAAGUUUGGUAAUUGGUUUUUAUUUAGUUAGUUUUUUGGAGAGUCUUCCUGUUAAAGGGAAGCUUUUCCUUUCUGUCACUACAUGCAUGUUCAUUAUAAAGCAUUGCCUAAGCUUACCUGUAUAACUUAACAAAUUUAAAUUGGUGUCUUGUUAACUAAUUUUGAAAGUCUUCCUGUUAAAGGGAAGUUUUUCCUCUUCACUGUCACCAGGUGGGAUCCUCAGUACAAGUCAUUGCUUUAGCUUAACUUUUAACCAGUUUAAAUAAUUGGUCCAGUAUUAACCUUAUUUUGGAAAGUUUUCCUGUUAAAGGGAAGCUUUUCCUUUCUAUGGUCAUUACAUGCAUGUUCAUUAUGAGGCAUUGCCUAGGCUUAUUGUGUUACUUAACACAUUUAAAUUGGUGCAGUGCUAACUUCUUUUGGAAAGUCUUUCUGUUAAAGGGAAGUUUUUCCUAUCCACUGUAACAGCAUACAUCUUGAGUAUGAGUCUCUGCUUCAGCUUGCAUAGCUUUUACUCAAUGUUUGAUAACUGCAGUUUUUUUUUUUUGUUUUUUUUUUUUUUUGGUGGAUGAUUGUUUUGAGCUCAUGAUUGGGAAUUUAAGGCCUUGUCAAGACAUGGUAUAUGGACCGGGAAGACAUGGUAUAUGGACCGGGAAGACAUAGAAGCCGACAAACAGUUUUUGUUGAGCUGGAACAACAACUCUGAAGAUACCAGAUGGCCUCAGACUGUGAAAGGUAGGAGUGUGAAUCCAGAGCCAGGAAAUGUGGUUUGGUACUUCCAUAGCCACUCCUAAAGACUAUGAAAUCAUCGGAUGAGUUCAAGGAAUUUGGUACCAGUUUGUAUAAUGAAGGGAUUGCUCCACAAAAGAAAAACCAAAUGGGCUAUUUGAAAGGUGGUUCUGAUCUUGGUUACAAAAGGUCACAACGGAUAAAGGGUUAGUUGCCCUUUGGUUGAGUGUGUAUGAAAACAAACCCUCCUGACGGGUGAGGGGUUAGUUGCCCUUCGGUCGGGUUUGUGUGAAAAUGAACCCUGCCGAUGGGUCAGGGGCAGGUUGCCUUUCGGUCGGGUUUGUGUGAAAAACGAACCCUGCCGACGGGUCAGGGGCAGGUUGCCCUUCGGUCGGGUUUGGGUAUAAAACGAACCCUGCCGACGGGUGAGGGGUUAGUUGCCCUUCGGUUGGGUUUGGGUAUAAAACGAACCCUGCCGACGGGUGAGGGGUUGGUUGCCCUUCGGUCGGGUUUGUGUGGCAAAACGAACCCUGCCGACGGGUGAUGGGUAGGUUGCCCUUCGGUCGGGUUUGUGUGGAAAAACGAACCCUGCCGACGGGUGAGGGGUAGGUUGCCCUUCGGUCGGGUUUGUGUGGAAAAACGAACCCUGCCGACGGGUGAGGGGUUAGUUGCCCUUCGGUCGGGUUUGGGUGAAAAACGAACCCUGCCGACGGGUGAGGGGUUAGUUGCCCUUCGGUCGGGUUUGGGUGAAAAGCGAACCCUGCCGACGGGUGAGGGGUUAGUUGACCUUCGGUCGGGUUUGGGUAUAAAACGAACCCGACCGGAAGGUAACAGUGUGAAAACUAAUCAACCAAACUUGGAUUCAAUUGCAGUGAUGGCAAAAACUGACAAGAGCAACAACUCAUUGGGGGAAAAGUCCUCAAGUGGCCCACCCACUCUCUGACUGCUCUCGACAAUGAUGGAUGGAUAAGGCCAUCACCCCCACCGCUGAUGGAUGACCUCACUGAUCCUACCGUCAGGCUCAGAAGUCUUCCUCAAGAAAUGCGGCAGGAAUCCUCCUGGAUCAUCUCAUUUUUCGUCUUGGAUUUUGCCCUUCAUUGGACCCCCAUCGACUGACGGAAGAAGCCCUCAUUGCCCCAAAGAUGAUGGAAGAAGACCCUCAUCACCCUCCCUUCCCCCUGCUGAUGGAUAACCUUAAUUACCCUACCAUCGGUCUCAGUAGUCUUCCUCAAGAAAGGCUGCAGGAACCCUCCUGGAUCGUUGCCCCGAUGAUGAUGGAAAAGAACCUCAUCACCAUCCUGCUAAUGGAUGACCAUUGGGUUCAACAGUCUUCCUCAAGAAAUGCUGCAGGAAUCCUCCUGGAUCAUUUUGUUUUUGUUUUGGAUUUCACCCUUCCUCGCCCCCUCUCGGCCCACAGAGGAAACUGGCUGCACUUAAAACAUUUAUCAAAACGACUUCAGUUUGUCUUUUUUUUUCUUUCUACCAAAAACUGGAUAUGUCUUCGGUCUGGUACUUAGAUCUGGUACAUCUAGCCAUUUUUUCCCCCCUUUUUUAAAUGAGCAAUUUUCUUUAUAGACUUCAUAAUUCAUUUUGUUUUUGUUUAUUUAUUUUUGAUAUUUAAAAUGUCUUCCAACUUCAGUGUUGAUGUUAAAAUUUAAUGUUUGUUUAUUUAUUUGAGAAUGUGUUCUUGCAUUAUUUUAGCAUUACCAGGGUUAUGGCAUUGAUUUUGAAAAGGCUUGGACUAGUGUACUGUAUCCUUCUGUUUUUAUGCUGCUGUUUGUUAUUUUCUGUUUCUACUACAUUAUUUAUUUAAACUGUUUUUAUUUUCUCAGUUAUUUUUCUUUUCACAGAAGCUACACCUGGACUGGCGUUGAUUAGCUGUGGUUG
Gambusia affinis (western mosquitofish) is the source of this 5139-nucleotide long non-coding RNA. RefSeq lists it as uncharacterized. The transcript is spliced from 5 exons. Lineage: Eukaryota; Metazoa; Chordata; Actinopteri; Cyprinodontiformes; Poeciliidae. The record is from RefSeq and is a predicted model, not a curated record.